CCAGCUAGUUGAGCUACCUGUACCAAUC
RNAcentral lists this small RNA (28 nucleotides) under Bombyx mori (domestic silkworm). Its description in RNAcentral is "ovarian small RNA-13572". The record is from RNAcentral. Lineage: Eukaryota; Metazoa; Arthropoda; Insecta; Lepidoptera; Bombycidae.